Non-coding RNA from Picea glauca (white spruce), 772 nucleotides. The record is from Rfam. Lineage: Eukaryota; Viridiplantae; Streptophyta; Pinopsida; Pinales; Pinaceae.
UCAAAAUGCAUGUCGAUGGGUUUGUAAAACUGUGAGGCGUAAGGAAGAUGACGAGCGAGAUCCCCUCUCCAUGGGGUGAAUUUCUGACCGACCUUGAGCUUGUGCAAAGGGUUCGAGUGAGAGCACACCUAUUGGGACCUGAAAGAUGGUCAACUAUGCCUGAGCAGGGUGAAGCUAGAGGAAACUCUGGUCGAGGCCCAUAGCAAUAAUAACGUGAAAAUCAUUCGUCUGACUUGUGUAUAUGGACGAAAUACUAAUCGAACCAUCUAGUAGUUUCUUUCCUCUGAAGUUCCCCUCAGGAUAGUUGGAGCUCAUGUGUGAGUUUUAUCGAGUAAAGAAAAUGAUUAGAGGCAUCAUGGGCGUAACUCCCCUGACCUAUUCUCAAACUUUAAAUAAGUAAGACAGUGUGGCUACUCCAUUGAGCCGUGCCACAUAAUCAAGAGUUCCAAGUUGGCCAUUUUUGGUAAGUAGAACUGGCGAUGCAGGAUGAACCAAAAGUUAAGUUACGGUGCCAAAAUGCACACUAACCCAGAUCCCACAAAAGGUGUUGGUUGAUUAAGAAAAUGGGAUGGUGGUCAUUGAAGUCAAAAUCUAGUCAGGAGUGUGUAACAACUCACCUGCUGAAUCAACUAGCACCGAAAAUGGAUGGCGCUGAAGCACGUGACCUAUACUCAACCGUCAGACCAAUUGCCAGGCUUUGAUGAGUAGGAGCACGCGGGGGUCAUUGAGAAACCUUGGGUGUGAGCCUGGGUGUUACACAUUAUUUUCAUCA